This 23-nucleotide non-coding RNA is filed under the name Rattus norvegicus (Norway rat). The record is from RNAcentral. Lineage: Eukaryota; Metazoa; Chordata; Mammalia; Rodentia; Muridae.
UGAAGAAACAAAAGCAUUUAGCA